RNAcentral lists this ribosomal RNA (590 nucleotides) under Enterobacter hormaechei. Its description in RNAcentral is "partial 23S ribosomal RNA". It matches the Rfam family "Bacterial large subunit ribosomal RNA", at positions 2211 to 2800 of the family's 2925-position model. The record is from RNAcentral. Lineage: Bacteria; Pseudomonadati; Pseudomonadota; Gammaproteobacteria; Enterobacterales; Enterobacteriaceae.
UGGCUGGUGUUCUAACGUAGACCCGUUACCCGGGUUGCGGACAGUGUCUGGUGGGUAGUUUGACUGGGGCGGUCUCCUCCCAAAGAGUAACGGAGGAGCACGAAGGUUGGCUAAUCCUGGUCGGACAUCAGGAGGUUAGUGCAAUGGCAUAAGCCAGCUUGACUGCGAGCGUGACGGCGCGAGCAGGUGCGAAAGCAGGUCAUAGUGAUCCGGUGGUUCUGAAUGGAAGGGCCAUCGCUCAACGGAUAAAAGGUACUCCGGGGAUAACAGGCUGAUACCGCCCAAGAGUUCAUAUCGACGGCGGUGUUUGGCACCUCGAUGUCGGCUCAUCACAUCCUGGGGCUGAAGUAGGUCCCAAGGGUAUGGCUGUUCGCCAUUUAAAGUGGUACGCGAGCUGGGUUUAGAACGUCGUGAGACAGUUCGGUCCCUAUCUGCCGUGGGCGCUGGAGAAUUGAGGGGGGCUGCUCCUAGUACGAGAGGACCGGAGUGGACGCAUCACUGGUGUUCGGGUUGUCAUGCCAAUGGCACUGCCCGGUAGCUAAAUGCGGAAGAGAUAAGUGCUGAAAGCAUCUAAGCACGAAACUUGCCCC